GAAGUAAUACCUCAGUGGUGGUACACCUGCUUUGCAUGCAGAAGGUCCCAGGUUCAAUCCCUGGCAUCUCCA
This 72-nucleotide transfer RNA is filed under the name Sphaerodactylus townsendi. RNAcentral describes it as "tRNA-Ala". Lineage: Eukaryota; Metazoa; Chordata; Lepidosauria; Squamata; Sphaerodactylidae. The record is from RNAcentral.